RNAcentral lists this ribosomal RNA (2092 nucleotides) under Volvox carteri f. nagariensis. RNAcentral describes it as "eukaryotic LSU rRNA". It matches the Rfam family "Eukaryotic large subunit ribosomal RNA", at positions 57 to 2192 of the family's 3401-position model. The record is from RNAcentral. Lineage: Eukaryota; Viridiplantae; Chlorophyta; Chlorophyceae; Chlamydomonadales; Volvocaceae.
AAAAGAAACUAACCAGGAUUCCCCUAGUAACGGCGAGCGAACCGGGAAUAGCCCAACUUGAAAAUCUCCCCUUGGAGAAUUGUAGUCUACAGAAGCGCCCUCAUGGGCUGGCGGAACUCAAGUCGGAUCGAAUGCCGCGUCAGAGAGGGUGAUAACCCCGUCGGUUCCUGCCUAGUCCUCUCACGAGGUGCUUUCCACGAGUCGGGUUGUUUGGGAAUGCAGCCCUAAUUUGGAGGUAAAUCCCUUCUAAGGCUAAAUACUGCUGAGAGACCGAUAGCGAACAAGUACCGUGAGGGAAAGAUGAAAAGAACUUUGAAAAGAGAGUUAAAAGUGCUUGAAAUUGUUGAGAGGGAAGCGAUUAGCGCUUGUGUGUGCCCCCAGGCUUAAGUGUGCCUAACGGCCCAUUGAAUGUGCUGGGUGCUGGUCAGAGUGGGUUGUCUUGGCGGGAAAACAGUUGGGUCCACCCCGGUAACCCGGCCGAUGCCGCCGAGAUGACCAAGGCGUGAAGGUUGCUUUGUCCUUCGGGAUCCGCAUCCUAAAGACUCUGGCAGAAAAGCGUUAAUCGACCCGUCUUGAAACACGGACCAAGGAGUCUAACAUGUAUGCGAGUUGGCGGGUUGAAAACCCGUAAGCGCAAGUAACCUGACUGGUGGGAUGGCCUGUGCCUGCACCAUCGACCGACCAUGUUGCUUUUGCGAAAGGUUUGAGUGCGAGCAUACCUGUUGGGACCCGAAAGAUGGUGAACUAUGCCUGAGCAGGGUGAAGCCAGAGUAACCUCUGGUGGAGGCUCGUAGAUGUGCUGACGUGCAAAUCGCUUUUCAGACUUGGGUAUAGGGGCGAAAGACUAAUCGAACCAUCUAGUAGCUGGUUCCCUCCGAAGUUUCCCCCAGGAUAGCUGGAGCUUGAUCAGUUUUAUCGGGUAAAGCGAAUGAUUAGAGGUUCGGGGGAUGAAACAUCCUUCACCUAUUCUCAAACUUUAAAUAGGUAAGACGUGUCGGUUGCUUAACUGAACCGUCACAUUCAAUGUGAGCUCCAAGUGGGCCAUUUUUGGUAAGCAGAACUGGCGAUGCGGGAUGAACCGAUAGUCGAGUUAAGGUGCCAAACUGCGCGCUAACCUAGAUCCCACAAAGGGUGUUGAUUGAUAUAAACAGCAGGACGGUGGUCAUGGAAGUCGAAAUCCGCUAAGGAGUGUGUAACAACUCACCUGCCGAAUCAAUUAGCCCCGAAAAUGGAUGGCGCUUAAGCGCGCGACCUAUACUCGGCCAUGGAUGCAAGUGCGACGCGUCCAUGAGUAGGAGGGCGUGGGUGUCGAGACUAAGCCUCUGGCGUGAGCCUGGGUGAAUCGGCAUCUAGUGCAGAUCUUGGUGGUAGUAGCAAAUAUUCAAAUGAGAACUUUGAAGACUGAAGUGGAGAAAGGUUCCAUGUGAACAGCAAUUGGACAUGGGUUAGUCGAUCCUAAGAGAUGGGGCAAUCCUGUGUGAAGAGCGCGAUUUGUGCUUCCCAUCGAAAGGGAAAAGGGUUAAGAUUCCCUUACUUGGACAAGGCGGCUGGCGGUAACGCAAGCGAGCCCGGAGACAUCGGCAUCGGCCCUGGGAAGAGUUCUCUUUUCUUUUUAACAACCCGAAGGCCCUGGAAUCGAAUCAUUCGAAGAUAGGGCUCAGAGGUUGGUAAAGCACCGCACUUCUCGCGGUGUCCGGCGCGCCGUUGACGGUCCUUGAAAAUCCGGGGGAGCAUUUCCGAUCUUGCCAAGUCGUACUCAUAACCGCAUCAGGUCUCCAAGGUGAACAGCCUCUAGUCGAUAGAACAAUGUAGAUAAGGGAAGUCGGCAAAAUGGAUCCGUAACUUCGGGAAAAGGAUUGGCUCUGAGGGCUGGGCCUAGGGGUCUGCAGCUGUGAAGCUCGGGACUGUGGUGGUCUACCCAACUGGAAACGGCUGGGCGGACUGCUGCGUGUCCUGGGUGGACGGCUGUAGAAGCUUCGCGGCGUUCCCUAGGCGACGAACAGCCAACUCAGAACUGGUACGGACAAGGGGAAUCCGACUGUUUAAUUAAAACAAAGCAUUGUGAUGGUCCCAAAGGAUGUUGACACAAUGU